Molecule: unclassified non-coding RNA, 391 nt
Filed under: soil metagenome
Description: partial contains 5.8S ribosomal RNA, internal transcribed spacer 2, and large subunit ribosomal RNA
Rfam family: 5.8S ribosomal RNA (bases 1-122)
Source: RNAcentral
GAUGAAGAACGCAGCGAAAUGCGAUACUUGGUGUGAAUUGCAGAAUCCCGUGAACCAUCGAGUCUUUGAACGCAAGUUGCGCCCGAAGCCACUAGGCCGAGGGCACGCCUGCCUGGGCGUCACACGCCGUUGCCCCCCCAUCUACUCCUUCGGGAUUGCGGGGGGGCGGAUGAUGGCCUCCUGUGCGCCUAGCCGCGCGGUUGGCAUAAAUACCAAGUCCUCGGCGACGCACGCCACGACAAUCGGUGGUUGCGAAACCUCGGUUGCCCGUCGUGUGCGUUCGUCGCGCAUCGAGGGCUCGAAAAAAUGCUCGGCUCCGGCUGGGCUUUCAACGCGACCCCAGGUCAGGCGGGGUUACCCGCUGAAUUUAAGCAUAUCAAUAAGCGGAGGA